Molecule: non-coding RNA, 131 nt
Organism: Taeniopygia guttata (zebra finch)
Lineage: Eukaryota; Metazoa; Chordata; Aves; Passeriformes; Estrildidae
Source: RefSeq
CGUGCCGUGCCGUGCCGUGCCGUGCCGUGCCGUGCCGUGCCGUGCCGUGCCGCGGGAGCCGCCCAGCGCGGGGGCCGCCGGUGCGGCGGGAGCGGAGCGGAGCGGAGCGGGGCGGUGGCGGUGGCGGCAUG